This 429-nucleotide ribosomal RNA is filed under the name Acidobacteriota bacterium. Its description in RNAcentral is "Acidobacteria bacterium partial 16S ribosomal RNA". It matches the Rfam family "Bacterial small subunit ribosomal RNA", at positions 355 to 776 of the family's 1533-position model. The record is from RNAcentral. Lineage: Bacteria; Pseudomonadati; Acidobacteriota.
CGGGGAAUUAUGGACAAUGGGGGAAACCCUGAUCCAGCCAUCCCGCGUGUGCGAUGAAGGCCGCCGGGGUGUAAAGCACUUUUGGCAGGAAAGAAACGUCAUGGGUUAAUACCCCGUGAAACUGACGGUACCUGCAGAAUAAGCACCGGCUAACUACGUGCCAGCAGCCGCGGCAAUACGUAGGGUGCAAGUGUUAAUCGGAAUUGCUGGGCGUAAAGCGUGCGCAGGCGGCUCGGAAAGGAAGAUGUGAAAUCCCAGAGCUCAACUUUGGAACUGCAUUUUUAACUGCCGUGCUAGAGUGUGUCAGGGGGAGGUGGAAUUCCGCGUGUAGCAGUGGGAUGCGUAAAUAUGCGGAGGAACACCGGUGGCGGAGACAUCCUCCUGGGAUAACGCUGACGCUCAUGCACAAAAUCGUGGGGAGCAAGCAGG